GAUGAACGCUGGCGGCGUGCCUAAUACAUGCAAGUCGAGCGAACAGACGAGGAGCUUGCUCCUCUGACGUUAGCGGCGGACGGGUGAGUAACACGUGGAUAACCUACCUAUAAGACUGGGAUAACUUCGGGAAACCGGAGCUAAUACCGGAUAAUAUAUUGAACCGCAUGGUUCAAUAGUGAAAGACGGUUUUGCUGUCACUUAUAGAUGGAUCCGCGCCGCAUUAGCUAGUUGGUAAGGUAACGGCUUACCAAGGCAACGAUGCGUAGCCGACCUGAGAGGGUGAUCGGCCACCCUGGAACUGAGACACGGUCCAGGCUCCUACGGGAGGCAGCAGUAGGGAAUCUUCCGCAAUGGGCGAAAGCCUGACGGAGCAACGCCACGUGAGUGAUGAAGGUCUUCGGAUCGUAAAACUCUGUUAUUAGGGAAGAACAAAUGUGUAAGUAACUAUGCACGUCUUGACGGUACCUAAUCAGAAAGCCACGGCUAACUCCGUG
This 497-nucleotide ribosomal RNA is filed under the name uncultured bacterium. Its description in RNAcentral is "partial 16S ribosomal RNA". It matches the Rfam family "Bacterial small subunit ribosomal RNA", at positions 28 to 507 of the family's 1533-position model. The record is from RNAcentral.